Molecule: long non-coding RNA, 1130 nt
Organism: Drosophila mojavensis
Lineage: Eukaryota; Metazoa; Arthropoda; Insecta; Diptera; Drosophilidae
Exons: 2
Source: RefSeq, a predicted model, not a curated record
UUGACAUUUACACAACAAUUCAAAUUUUAAUAGAACUUAAUUUUAAUUUGUUGUUUAGUAGUUGAAGUAGUAUAAAAUAUAUUUUUGGUGAAGGAAACUUUUUUAAUUUUUGCAGAAAUCGAAGAUUUGGGCACUGUCAAAAUAACGAGUUUGGAAUUUAUUUAUGCAUUGAUGUUAAAAAGGAAAAAUAAAAUCAGGCAGACUUUCGGCUAUUUGGCAAAAAAAAAAAAAAAAAAAAAAAAAUUUCAAAAAUAAAGCAAAACAAAGCAAAGCACAGCAAAGAAGUGAAAAGUCAACGUCUGCGACUGUUCAUUCAUGGAUAUAUUUAGCUGAGGAUCUGUAUCUUGAAAUUUAGCUGUAUCUCUGUCUGUAUCUGUAUCUGUAUCUGUAUUUAGUGAGCUUUACAGUUGUUUUUGCGCCGUUGUCGUGAUGGUCGCUGUGGCUGCUGAGCGCGAGCUCGCUUUGCUCAGCCAAUGCCAAUGCUAAUGCUAAUGAUAAUGAUGAUUAUGAUAAUGGCCGCUCGCUAGCGAUAAUGAUGGCCAGCCAGCUGACAACUGUCCACUAACUGAACUGAGUCUAAAACUCUAACCGAACACCAGACAGCGGGGAAUGUGUGAUAGUAUUACCCGCAAAUUACAGUUAAAUUAAAGACUAUUCCGUGAUUAAUUAUAUCUCCAGCAAUUAUACACAAAUAUGCAAAAACACAUACAUACAUGCAUAUAUAGAGUAUUGGGGACCUCCCAGGCGACAGCAGGCAACGGCAUCAAAUGAGCACUCUGACAUAGCCGAUCACUCAGCUAAUUGGGUAACUUCUAUUCGUUUUCGAAAAUGUUGCCAAAAUUGUAAAAUUGAGUCAGAGCGACGCCCACAGUUAGUUGUCGAAGACUGGCCCCCACCGACCUCUAUAAGCUGGAUAUGGAAAUUGAUUAGCCUAUGGCUUUAGGUUUUGGAAGUGGGCGAGGUCGCGUAGCGCUGCGCGUUCUGUAGGUCUCUGGGUCGCGUAUCACUUUCAUAUUGAUAAUCGCAAUAAAUCACAGAAGUGAUUUUAUUAUUUAUUUAUUAUAUGGCAUAUAUCGAAGCGUCUCGAGCAGUCGCUGAGACAUCAAAUAAAGUUCUUUGAUUCGUUUUGA